Molecule: ribosomal RNA, 253 nt
Filed under: uncultured bacterium
Lineage: Bacteria
Description: partial 16S ribosomal RNA
Rfam family: Bacterial small subunit ribosomal RNA
Source: RNAcentral
UACGUAGGUGGCAAGCGUCGUCCGGAUUUAUUGGGUUUAAAGGGUGCGUAGGUGGUUUGAUAAGUCAGUGGUGGAAGCCGGUUGCUCAACAAUCGAGUUGCCAUUGAUACUGUCGGACUUGAGAGAAGUGGAGGUUCAUGGAAUGGAUGGUGUAGCGGUGAAAUGCAUAGAUAUCAUCCAGAACGUCGAUUGCGAAGGUAGUGGGCUGUACUUUUUCUGACACUGAGGCACGAAAGCGUGGGGAUCAAACAGG